This 910-nucleotide ribosomal RNA is filed under the name uncultured bacterium. RNAcentral's name for it is "bacterial SSU rRNA". It matches the Rfam family "Bacterial small subunit ribosomal RNA", at positions 33 to 924 of the family's 1533-position model. The record is from RNAcentral.
ACGCUGGCGGCGUGCCUAAUACAUGCAAGUCGAGCGAAGUUUUUCUGGUGCUUGCACUAGAAAAACUUAGCGGCGAACGGGUGAGUAACACGUAAAGAACCUGCCUCAUAGACUGGGACAACUAUUGGAAACGAUAGCUAAUACCGGAUAACAGUAUUUCUCGCAUGAGAGAUAUUUAAAAGUUGGUUAUGCUAACACUAUGAGAUGGCUUUGCGGUGCAUUAGCUAGUUGGUGGGGUAAAGGCCCACCAAGGCGACGAUGCAUAGCCGACCUGAGAGGGUGAUCGGCCACACUGGGACUGAGACACGGCCCAGACUCCUACGGGAGGCAGCAGUAGGGAAUCUUCCGCAAUGGGCGAAAGCCUGACGGAGCAACGCCGCGUGAGUGAAGAAGGAUUUCGGUUCGUAAAGCUCUGUUGUUAGGGAAGAAUGGAUAUGUAGUAACUAUACAUAUAAGAGACGGUACCUAACCAGAAAGCCACGGCUAACUACGUGCCAGCAGCCGCGGUAAUACGUAGGUGGCAAGCGUUGUCCGGAAUUAUUGGGCGUAAAGCGCGCGCAGGUGGUUUAAUAAGUCUGAUGUGAAAGCCCACGGCUCAACCGUGGAGGGUCAUUGGAAACUGUUAAACUUGAGUGCAGGAGAGAAAAGUGGAAUUCCUAGUGUAGCGGUGAAAUGCGUAGAGAUUAGGAGGAACACCAGUGGCGAAGGCGGCUUUUUGGCCUGUAACUGACACUGAGGCGCGAAAGCGUGGGGAGCAAACAGGAUUAGAUACCCUGGUAGUCCACGCUGUAAACGAUGAGUGCUAAGUGUUGGUCUCAUAAGAGAUCAGUGCUGCAGCUAACGCAUUAAGCACUCCGCCUGGGGAGUACGACCGCAAGGUUGAAACUCAAAGGAAUUGACGGGGACCCGC